UAUAUAUAUAUAUUCUUUCUCUGUUCGUGCCUCGAUACAGACGCAGGAAUCACGAAACACGCGUGACGGUUCGCAGAGAUUCUAAUUAUAAGUCAGUUUCUAAUGGAACCGCCUGGAAUUGCCGCUUCAGAUACCACGAGAAUUAUAUCCGACCUCUUCCUACGGAAUACCAAAUGAACAAACGAAAGCCUCGUUAAGCUCAUAAAUAAACGAACAGCGCCUCCCCCACCACCACGUUGGUGGUUCUGCUCUUGCCCGCCGAGGCCUUAGAGGAGCGCUACCAUUUUCGAUCUAAUCCGGAGGUCGCGGAGGAACGAGCUUCAACCUCGCAUGAAUUAUUCGCCAACGAUUCUUAAUCCGCUUAAUCCGUAGACAUUUUUCUUCCCAUUCAUCCACUCCUCUGUCUUCAUUCUUCUUUUCUUUCUCUCUUUCUUUCCCUUUCUUGGCGAUGAUGCAACACGCGCGUAAGAAUUUUCGAAUCGUGCGAAACUUUUUCGCUAAAAAUUCACGAAUAAAGUUGCGAGAAUUUUUCUCGCUACUUUAAAUUAAUCUCUUGUUUCUUGCUACAGGGCGCAACUUGUUGUUGCGCCCAUUAUCCGAUCCAUUCUCUCGAUUGUAAUAACGUUCGACGCUUACAAUGAUUCAUACGCACGGAAGCGAAAGAUCGGAUGAGAUUCGGAUCACGUCUUCUCUUUGGCCCAGGAAUUUUCGUCACGCGACGUCUCUCCUAGUAUCUACGAUCGGGCAAAGAGAAUCGAACCAAUUUCUCGGUUUGUAGAAGCCGUAGAAUCGUAUCUCGCGAUGAAUUAUUCAAACCACUAUAAUCCGCCAAUGUACGAAAUUCUUCUUCUUAUUCUUUCCUUUAACGCGCCAUCAUCCAUUAAUCUCUCGAUUAUUUCCUCCUUCUUAAUUAUAAUAACGUAAUACGAUAUCGAUCCACCCUUGGGACGAUGAAAUAUCGCAUCGUUUCCCAAGAAUCUUUCAACGAUAUAUUGCAAUAUCUUUUCUUUUUUGCCAGGAACAGGCCAAAGAAGAGAAUCGAGCCCCGAUUCCGUUGUGGCACGAGUUAAACGGACGUUUCCAGGAAUCGAUCUGGCCUCCUUUCAGCGCGGUACGAAGGGAGCAUGUCGAAAAUAAAUUCGAGACCCGAUGGAUCGGCGAACGGGCACGAACACCACUAGCAGAUCCAGCAGGGAAAUAUACCGUUAGCGCGUUGCCCACGAAUAGUUCACGGCGAUCGAGCGAGCCCGAUUUUUUUUUGUCAGCCUCGCUGGCUCACCUACUUACAGCUCCGCCAUUUACGUCCCCAUCGUUGGUCCAACAGCGGGCCUUUUUCUUCCUUUUGGACCGCCGGGCUGCUUCGCUUCACCGCUAUUCCGAUUUUCGGUGACGUGGCUUUUUUUCUCCUUCUUUUCCUUCCUUCUUUUCUUUUUUCCAACGCUUUCAUCAUUUUCGAUCGAUGCUUUAGAUACACUCGAAUUCCACGUUAUUUCAGAGAUUAAAAUUGUAAAUAAAAUUCGUCAAAUAUUUUCGAAUAUAUUACGUACAAUGAUUUACGAUUGAAAUAUUUCUAUUUUCUCCGUGAUUUUUUAUAACGUUCGAUAAUUCGUUCUCCAACGUAAUUUUAUUAAAUCUACUUAAAAAAAGGGAAAAACACGGGCAAGCAUCAUCACCAGGCGCAAGACAUUUCCUUCAUAAAUAACGACAUCGCCCCUAAUGAAGAUGUCUCGAGCGUUCAAACGUUGGAGCUCGUUACAUCCCCUCGUACAUAAUAAUAAUUUGGCCACGGCAUGGGUAUUAAUUUUAAUUAAAUAGUUUUAUUGUUUCGAAAUGAUAAUUCCCUCCACUCCGUGGGUAAUGGUAAUGCCGUUUGGGGAUCCGUCAUGUGAACCUGUGAACGAUGCUAGACCGGAGGGAAGGGAAAACCUCGGGAAGAAAUAUAUAUAUAUAUAUUCGAAUUCGUUACGUGUACUUUGAAAAGUAAUAGUAUUUGCACCGUAGAACAGGGUGGGAAGAGGAUCUCUCUUCUGACACACACAGGCAACAAUGGAGGCCGGGUUUAUUCAUCACCUUGAUGCGUACGAUAUCCCCCCAAUUCACUUUUGCCGCGAACAACCUCAACCGUGACAAUUUAUUACGAGGAAACACGGAAUAAACCCUGCAACGAACGAGGAAUAUUAACCCAUUGAAAAAUAUUCCGCCGUUCUACACGGCCGUCUACACUCCCAUCCGCGAGCCGUCAGACACGUAGGUAAUUUGAAACGAAGUGCGAAGAGUUCGUUGAAUUUAAUUUCGCGAUAAGUUUAGCUCGGCCCGACCUUGUUUUCGACUCUAUUAUUACACUCUCUCGAGGGCACUUACUCUUCGUACUUUACUUUUUUACACUCGAUAAAAUAAUAGAGACGUAAAAAUUAAAAUUCUUAAACGUUCUCGACGAGAAGAGAAUUUUUUAAGGGGCAAUGUAUCAUCAUGAUUCUUAUCGAUCGUUCGAAUCGGCCGUAAAGAUAAAAAAAGAAAAAGACGAAAAAAAAAAAAACACCUACACCUAUAAAACAUUGAUCAAUCCGUGAAUCCAUUCGGUUUCGUUUCACGAUACAACUACUAUUGCUCGUUGGCGGGACAGCGGCGAUGAAUAGGCGAUAAUUGAAACGGUCGAUGUUGCAAGAAGCGGCCGGCCAUCGCAUCAGGGUCAGCAACGAGGAAGCGGGCGGUGGAAAAGAAGGGAAAAGGAGAGAGAGAAGAAAAGAAGGUGGAGGGGGGAGGAACGAUCCCCCGGUUGCAUAAUCCCGAUUUCGAUCCCCCUCGGCCGUCGUUCUUGUCUCGGGGUCAGCGUGCUUCGAAGAAAAUCACUUUCCUUCCCAUAGAAGCUACGUGUAUAUAAUGUACCGCGACCGCUCAUCGAGCAUACGUGCAUACGCGCACGUAAAAUAUACACUCGACGCGCACGCGCACAGACACGCGCAACCGCUUGCCUGCUUGGCUGGCUGUAGAGAGCGGCGGAGCGCGUGCACCGAUUCUUCCUUCCUCCUCCUGCUCUUCCUGGUUUCUCAGCUCGUUACGAGGCAACCGACAAAUUAUCGGUGCUCCCUUGCGCUCCCUCCGGUGUUCAACGUAAUACACUGCGAGGGGAGGAGAGGGAAGGAUAGGGAAGGACGGAGCGAGGAACGACAGCACGAAAUCUCGGAUGCGCCUAGUAAACGCAGGCCUCCGCGUAUACUUUCACUUCCUUUCCACCUCGCAGCAGAGAGAGCUUCCCAUCUUUCUCCCCCUUCGACUCUCGCCACCUCUCGCUCCCUCCGGAUCUCUCGGACAUAGAACUACUUUUCCUUUCAAACCCUUGGACCGAGGGUAUUACCCGUACCGAAUUCGUACUUUUUUCAUACGUAUUUAUACUUGUACGGCGUACGCACCGACCUCUCGCCUCCUCCCCCUCCUCCCCUCUCGCUCCAUGCGACGAAUUAGGCGUGGGAUAAAUAGGUGUCGCGUCCAUCGGUGGCUAUUGCCGGUCGAUCACUGAACGAGAAGGACUCGCGGAGGAGGGAGAAGGAAGGUGGAGGAAGAAUGAAAGAGGGAAACGUGGCGUGACCUUUCCGCCGCGCGAGGAAGAGGAGAGGAGGCGCAGGAGCGGCGCAGUCUGCGUGGAGCAUUGGUGGCCGGGCGAGGGAGCAAGGGUGAGAAUGGGAAGGCUGUGGAAAAUAUUAGAGGCGGAGGAGUAAGGAGGGUACAUCCCGACGUUUUCUCUCGAACUGAUGGGAACAAGGAGAAUGCCGAAGAGAGGAGGCGGACCAGGAUGUUUCGCGCGUGUCGCUUUCGCGUGAUAUACGCGGAGACGAAGAAGAAGAGGACGUUGACGUUAGACCCAUAAUAACAACUACAACAUAAACCACCGAUUCUUCGACUUGACAACUUUCGCUUCAAUUGGACAGGUACAUAAGCCGAAGGCGAAAAGGAAGAAUAAGGGAAUGGAGGGAUUGAGAAUGGAAGGUGGGAAGAGACGGCACACACAGCAGAGUGAAGAAGAAAAAGAAGAGGAAAAAGGUUGGCCAGGAUGUUUAAUAUGCGAUCGACGAAGGAAACAUUAAACAAGGAGAAAAAUCAUCGAUAAAUAAAUUGAAGAUAAAUGAAAAGACACAAAGUAGCAAAGGAGUAUCUAGGAAAGGAUGCUGAAAAAAAAGAAAAAAAGAAAAAGAACGUUGAUGUCAGCAACAACGAUCGAUAACGACGACCAUCGAUUAAUAAGCGUAAGACGAAAAGCAAGAAGAAGAGGAAGAAGAAGAAGAGAAAGAGAAUAGGAGAUGAAAAAGAAGGUGGUGGACGUGUCGAAGAAAAGGAGACAAGAAGAAACGUGGAAACAAGAAAGCGAGGAGGGUCCCGAUGAUAGAGACAACUCUCCACCGCGGUGGAACGAGCGCGAAGGAGCAUGCAGAGGAAGAGACUGCGAAGGAAGGCUGCAGAAGGUGGGUUGGCGAGUAGUGGAGCGGGCCGGUGGGGUGGAGAGGGGCAGAGGAGGUGAGUCGAGAUGAUGCAGUUGUGCGUUUGCAAGGAAGGCGGAAGGAGGAACCGCGGAGGGAACCGGUCCCGGUCACUGGGCCACCAGCCGGCCGUCGAACCCGCCACACUGCCCCCUACCACCCCCUACCCCACCUUUUCCUCGCCAUCUUUCUGUCCCUCGCUCUUCCUCGCGUCUCGCUCGCGGCCUGUCUCUGUCUCGCUUCCUUCGCUCUCCCUCUGCGCGCAAAUCCCUCUGCCGCCUCCUCCUCCCACUCCUCCUCCUCCUCCUCCUCCUCCGCUCCCUUAGGAAAGCGUGCCUCCAUCGCGAAACCUUUCUCAAUUCGUCGACGAACGCGACGAAAAUGACGAAGCACAAAAUUGACCACGAGGAUGAAAAUGAAGAAACGAAGACAAAGAGGAAAACAAAGAUGAAAGAUGGUACGACAAAGAAGAUGAUUACUCUUAGAUACCUUCCUCCUCUUCCUCCUCUUCCUCUUCUUCUUCUUCGAGUUCUUCAAACAAUGUCAACCGGCGUGUGCGGCAUUGUAUGCGCCGAUAAUGCCACCGGUGGCCACCAUGUUUACCGGCCCGAGGCUAUAUGCUAGAGGAGACAUGUUCCCGCCGUGACCGACGUUUUCGCGUGUCUCCUCGUCCCCUCCAAAGAUCGCACGCUUUUAACGGUGAGAAUGAACACGAAUCGGAUGGACGAUGCUCGAUCCUGUUCCGGAUGAACUUGCCGUUUAAAUAGGCGAAGAGCUCGGUACGAUGAUAGAUUCGAAGAUUAUUGGUGAUAUAAUGGUAAAUUUAAAACGGUAAUUUUUCUUGGGAAUCGUUCUUUUAUCAUCUAUUCGAAUUGAUAAGGGUAAUCUCGGUUGACUCGGGCGAAGAGGCGAACGUCGAUGGGCGCGCGCGUGUGCAAACACGGUCGAUAUAUCGAAGCGGUGAAAAGGAACGGAGACACGGGCACGGUCGUUCGCGUGGAAGAAUGGAGGAAUUAGUUUUGGAUCGGGCUUUCGAUCGUGAGAGAGCAGGCGAGCAGGUAGCGCAAACGGAAGCUUAGUACUCGUACACGGUAAUCUCGCCGAGAUACGCCAAACAUUUUCUCUUAAUUAAGAAAGGACGUGGCCGUAAUUAAGUUUCCCUUCCACGUUAUUCUCCUGCUCGUUUCAAGCCGUGCCGCGCGUUACGCCGUCAAAACAGAGUGUUCAGUGGCUUCGAACGAUGACUUCUGCUUUCCAUUAACCACUCUAAUUCGUCAAAACUGCGAUAAUUCUUUUAUACAGUUAUUACAUGCUCGAAUUUUUCUCGUUUUCGUUCGAAGAUCGAUUCUAGAAGCCUAAAAAAAAAAAACGAACGAAAUAAAAGUUUGUAUGCAAAAAUAUCAGCUCGAGCUUAUUUAUGAACGACGUAAAUUUGCGCUGGAUAAAGCGAGAUAGAGAAAGCAAGAUGGUCGUACAACGAAGAUAGAGCUUUUUCACUCUAUUUGUAUCUUACUUUAUCUAAUUUAUUUAAACUUCAAUUGCUUAUAACUUAUAUAACCUAAUAAAUACGCCUUGAUCAA
Long non-coding RNA from Apis cerana (Asiatic honeybee), 6052 nucleotides. RefSeq lists it as uncharacterized. The record is from RefSeq and is a predicted model, not a curated record. Lineage: Eukaryota; Metazoa; Arthropoda; Insecta; Hymenoptera; Apidae.